Molecule: non-coding RNA, 134 nt
Organism: Rhizobium etli CNPAF512
Lineage: Bacteria; Pseudomonadati; Pseudomonadota; Alphaproteobacteria; Hyphomicrobiales; Rhizobiaceae
Source: Rfam
GUGACGAAUGCCGGAUGAAACUACAGAUCGUUAAUCUCCUGGUCGCGGGUUCGAAUCCCGUCGGGUCCUCCAGUUUAUGGACCCGUAGCUCAGCGGAUAGAGCAGGACGUUUCACCACACCUUGUCGUCACGGA